This 1442-nucleotide ribosomal RNA is filed under the name Escherichia coli. RNAcentral's name for it is "bacterial SSU rRNA". It matches the Rfam family "Bacterial small subunit ribosomal RNA". The record is from RNAcentral. Lineage: Bacteria; Pseudomonadati; Pseudomonadota; Gammaproteobacteria; Enterobacterales; Enterobacteriaceae.
AGUGGCGGACGGGUGAGUAAUGUCUGGGAAACUGCCUGAUGGAGGGGGAUAACUACUGGAAACGGUAGCUAAUACCGCAUAAUGUCGCAAGACCAAAGAGGGGGACCUUCGGGCCUCUUGCCAUCGGAUGUGCCCAGAUGGGAUUAGCUUGUUGGUGGGGUAACGGCUCACCAAGGCGACGAUCCCUAGCUGGUCUGAGAGGAUGACCAGCCACACUGGAACUGAGACACGGUCCAGACUCCUACGGGAGGCAGCAGUGGGGAAUAUUGCACAAUGGGCGCAAGCCUGAUGCAGCCAUGCCGCGUGUAUGAAGAAGGCCUUCGGGUUGUAAAGUACUUUCAGCGGGGAGGAAGGGAGUAAAGUUAAUACCUUUGCUCAUUGACGUUACCCGCAGAAGAAGCACCGGCUAACUCCGUGCCAGCAGCCGCGGUAAUACGGAGGGUGCAAGCGUUAAUCGGAAUUACUGGGCGUAAAGCGCACGCAGGCGGUUUGUUAAGUCAGAUGUGAAAUCCCCGGGCUCAACCUGGGAACUGCAUCUGAUACUGGCAAGCUUGAGUCUCGUAGAGGGGGGUAGAAUUCCAGGUGUAGCGGUGAAAUGCGUAGAGAUCUGGAGGAAUACCGGUGGCGAAGGCGGCCCCCUGGACGAAGACUGACGCUCAGGUGCGAAAGCGUGGGGAGCAAACAGGAUUAGAUACCCUGGUAGUCCACGCCGUAAACGAUGUCGACUUGGAGGUUGUGCCCUUGAGGCGUGGCUUCCGGAGCUAACGCGUUAAGUCGACCGCCUGGGGAGUACGGCCGCAAGGUUAAAACUCAAAUGAAUUGACGGGGGCCCGCACAAGCGGUGGAGCAUGUGGUUUAAUUCGAUGCAACGCGAAGAACCUUACCUGGUCUUGACAUCCACGGAAGUUUUCAGAGAUGAGAAUGUGCCUUCGGGAACCGUGAGACAGGUGCUGCAUGGCUGUCGUCAGCUCGUGUUGUGAAAUGUUGGGUUAAGUCCCGCAACGAGCGCAACCCUUAUCCUUUGUUGCCAGCGGUCCGGCCGGGAACUCAAAGGAGACUGCCAGUGAUAAACUGGAGGAAGGUGGGGAUGACGUCAAGUCAUCAUGGCCCUUACGACCAGGGCUACACACGUGCUACAAUGGCGCAUACAAAGAGAAGCGACCUCGCGAGAGCAAGCGGACCUCAUAAAGUGCGUCGUAGUCCGGAUUGGAGUCUGCAACUCGACUCCAUGAAGUCGGAAUCGCUAGUAAUCGUGGAUCAGAAUGCCACGGUGAAUACGUUCCCGGGCCUUGUACACACCGCCCGUCACACCAUGGGAGUGGGUUGCAAAAGAAGUAGGUAGCUUAACCUUCGGGAGGGCGCUUACCACUUUGUGAUUCAUGACUGGGGUGAAGUCGUAACAAGGUAACCGUAGGGGAACCUGCGGUUGGAUCACCUCCUUA